AUUGAACGCUGGCGGCAUGCUUUACACAUGCAAGUCGAACGGUAACAGGCCUUCGGGUGCUGACGAGUGGCGAACGGGUGAGUAAUGCAUCGGAACGUGCCCAAUCGUGGGGGAUAACGUAGCGAAAGUUACGCUAAUACCGCAUAAGCCCUGGAAGGGGAAAGGUGGGGGACCGCAAGGCCUCACGCGAAGUGGAGCGGCCGAUGUCAGAUUAGCUAGUUGGUAGGGGUAAACGGCCCACCAAGGCGACGAUCUGUAGCGGGUCUGAGAGGAUGAUCCGCCACACUGGGACUGAGACACGGCCCAGACUCCUACGGGAGGCAGCAGUGGGGAAUUUUGGACAAUGGGCGCAAGCCUGAUCCAGCCAUGCCGCGUGCGGGACGAAGGCC
This 389-nucleotide ribosomal RNA is filed under the name uncultured bacterium. RNAcentral's name for it is "bacterial SSU rRNA". It matches the Rfam family "Bacterial small subunit ribosomal RNA", at positions 29 to 416 of the family's 1533-position model. The record is from RNAcentral.